ACACCCAGCGGCAGCCGUUGACUCCCUCCACCCUUGCUUCCCUCUCAACCAUCUCACCUCCAUCUGUCCAGUGGAGCCAGAUGUCCCACCUUCUUGGGAGAAAUUAAUUGAGGCUCAUUUCCAGGACAGAGGGGCAAGCUGGGUCUGAGGAGCCAAGCAGAAAAACUUCCCAAAAUCACUGGGUGGGGAGGGGUCAGAGACUUACUGCUGCCCCAGCUGUUCUGACUCUGCCCCCAGCUUUUGGCCCCACCCUUUUAAAGCACCUUCAGAGGUUCCCAAUGGUGACAGUAAACAAGUCUCCACUGUCCUGGCCAUCUCUGCUGUGUUCACCCUACUCCUGAUCUUUCUGGCUGCUCAGGGACUGACAGCCAAGAUGUGAGGCUGUGAUGAGCAGGAACAGGGAGGCCUGGAGCCCCCAGCCAUUGUCAUCACUUCCCUGAUCUGCCUAAAUUCUGCCCAGCAGUCCGUGAAAAUGGUUUGCUGAUGACAUAUGUAAGGACUUUAACUCCCCUCAAGCAAUCUGCUCAUCUCAAAGGACAGAUUUGCAAUGAUCAAGAGGCGUCCUGUGAAUGCAGUUUGCAAAGGACUUAGGCACACAGCAUCUCCUUUGUUCUCACCACAAGGCUGCCGGGUGUGCAGAUGUGAGGAUUAUUUCAAUGGUGAAGAAGCAUCCUGAGAGGUUACGUAGUUCAACUAAUGUCACACCAAGAGCAGGAGAGCAUCUGGGCAUUUGGACAUGGAAGGUGUGGGGCACAAGCAUCUCAUGGCCAGGGAACGGGGGAGGAGCAUCUCAGAGCUGCAUCAGAGUUCAUGCUGGUCCUAGGACAAGAGUCAAGCACACCCUGCUUUCACCAGCUGCUGGUAGCUUUCACUCAGUGUAUGAAACCCUAAAGAGAACAGAGCUCAUCCCGUAUUGCUCAUCAGACUCCCACAAUGCUUAGUCCAACCUGGGACCCAGAAUCAAGUCUGAUGCUAAAGAAGUCUCGACUCAGGAAAACCACAAGGGUGGACUUGGGAAGACUCAACAGGUUGUAAUGACUCUCCAGCAAAUCAUGUCACCAUGCCAUUUGAUGAUGGUAGGAAGAAACAAAGCCUUGAAGAUUCAUGCAUUGAGAGAAUAAGAGUUAGUGAGUAAACCAGAUGUGUUUCAGGACUGGGACCCUGCAGUCAUCAACCACCUCACACCUGCGUCAGUAACAAACCCAAGCUACAGCAUGAUUUUUGUUCUACCUCAGCAGAUAUUUUAUAGAUGGAAAAACUGAGGCAUAAAGUGGGUAAAUACCUCCCCCAAGGUCACGAGAUAAAGAUAACGCAGUCAUCAAA
Molecule: long non-coding RNA, 1323 nt
Organism: Homo sapiens (human)
Lineage: Eukaryota; Metazoa; Chordata; Mammalia; Primates; Hominidae
Product: long intergenic non-protein coding RNA 1723
Source: Ensembl